ACUGUACUUUCAAUAUAAGUUUCAGUGUUCAGUUCACGGACAUUGCACUGGGUAAUACAGACUUCACUGUCUCUGCUUUACAGGCUUGGAGGUCCUCAGAGCCAAGUGAGGGGCGAGUUUGUUUUUAGAUUCCGCUGGAACCUCUCCAGAAUCCUGAUACGUUGUAAUCAAAACAUCUAUUGGUUUCACUUACAUUGUUAACUACCACCUUUACUACAUAUUGCAUUUUAGUUACUUUAACUGUUACUUUACUGUUAACUUCAGUUUGAACAGUAUAUCAACAAAAGAAUGGUUUGUCCUUUUUAUCAUUGGGUAUUAAAAUGUUUUACAGUAAUAGAUGUUUGUAACUCAUUUAUACUUCACUAACUCACUUAUACCUCAGCCCUAUCAUUUGUUUUAGCUAGCAAUUAUCACCCUAGGAGUGAGUACAAUUAACCUAACUGUUGUAAAUAUUGCCAGUAAGUCAGGCAGUCUGUCUGUAUGUUUGUCUCUCUCUCUCUCUACCCCCGGCUGCGCAAUCUCUCUCUCUCCCCCUCUUAAUAGACCUGGAUACUACACGUUUUUAAACAGGGUUUGUUGGUAGGAUGUGGAGAAGUGUUUUAGAGAAGACCAAAUAUACUGAACACCUGCUGUGUAUCAUGCACUGCGCUGGUCACUUCAUAUUCAUUGUCUGUUAGUGUGUUUGCUAUCAUGUGGAAUUAAUGAAGGAUUUUUACUGCUUUAUGAUGAUUUCCUUUUUUGCCAUUUCCUUUCUUGCCAGUCUCUCCAGUGUGUUCCCCCCUACUCCUUCCCCUAACACCAAAGCAGAGACACCAGAAACCCCCUUUUCAGUUUCCAACAAUAGAAGUGUGGUUCCUCCAUCCCAACUAACCAUCCAUUAAAAGAGAUGUUUGUUUCAUACCUCUUUUGCCUUUCCCCUUUCCUGGACUUAGAGGAAAGGCAGAAUGAACCUCAAAACAUAAAGAACCACUGUAGGUGGUGCUUUAAGAAAUAGCCAUUUUCAUUCUUACCCUUCACUAGAUGAUGUCCUAAGCCCCACUUAAUAUUUUAUGAUUAGAGCACCUGCUUUGUGCUAGAUCCAAAGAUCAAUUAAACAAAAAUACUCCUGUCUUUAAGGUAUUUUCUACACCCUCCCCCAGCUUUUAUGAGGUGAAACUGACAAAUAAAAGGGUAUUUUCAUUCUGCUAGAGGAGAUAAGUCCUGCCAGGAUAUGCCUAAUUUACGGUGUUUGAUCAAAGUCCUAAUAAUUCUUUCUCUGAAAUGUCUCUCUGCUCUGACCCUUCCUUUGUAUUCCUACUUCAGAUUGUUAGGUAUUUUGAUUACACAGUGUGCCACAAUGCCCCAGACUGUUCAGUUUCAAAUAUUAGACUUCCACCACAAGGCAAAGAACAAGGCAACCUGAAUAUGAGGGUGCAUAUCAGCAUAUUGCAGUCCUGAAGCUCAAACCUAUCAUGCAACAUAACUGAUUCCUGUUCACAGAUGCUUUUUGUUGCAGCCCUCCCACCUUGAUGUUCUUGUCUGAAGUGUGACUGCAUUUUCCAAUAUCUUUUAAAAUUUCCUGUUGUUUGGAAUAUGAGAGAAUGACAAAUGGUAUUCUACUGAGAGAGUCUUUGUAAUCAGGGCAUUAAGCAAACUCAUAAAUUAUAAUUUUCUCUAGGAACUGUAAUUAGGGAGUGUGGAUUUUGAGUCAUUUAUAUAACCAGUUCUUUUUCUACUUCUAUGUUUAUGGGAAAUUUUGUUUAUUCUCACUCAUUUAGUCGACAAAAGGAGCCCAGCAGAACAACUUAAUGAAUAGAUCUUGAGAGUAGCUCAUUUCUCCCCAGCUUCACUGGGGAGGCUCUGUUGAUUCAAAAUCUUUUAAGUGAUUUUCCUGACACUUUCCCCCCUCCCCCCAUAUUCUCCAUUUAGUUGAGCAACUUGCAUCUUAAGGAAGAGAAAAUCAAACCAGAUGCCAAUGGUGCUGUUGUCAAGACCAAUGCUAAUGCAGAGAAGGCAGAUGAAGAAGAGAAAGAGGACAGAGCUGCCCAGUCCUUACUCAACAAGCUGAUCAGAAGCAACCUUGUGGAUAACACAAACCAGGUGGAAGUCCUGCAGCGGGACCCAAAUUCCCCACUCUACUCAGUGAAGUCCUUUGAGGAGCUUCGGCUGAAACCACAGCUUCUCCAGGGAGUCUAUGCCAUGGGCUUCAACCGUCCAUCCAAGAUACAAGAGAAUGCACUGCCUUUGAUGCUUGCUGAGCCCCCACAGAAUUUAAUUGCCCAGUCUCAGUCUGGCACUGGUAAAACAGCUGCCUUUGUGUUGGCCAUGCUCAGCCAAGUAGAACCUGCAAACAGAUACCCCCAGGUAAGGGCUUGGUAAAUUUGGAUUUUCUGCUAAUGUGUAGCUAGAAAUUACAUUUGAUGGACUGAAAGCCAAGAUGCAUAUUACUUUUUACAUAAACCAGAACACCUUGUCUAGCACAAACAAUAUGGUUGAUCUUCCAGUAGCAACAUGCAUCCUAUUCCCUUUCCAUGGUUUGCCAGUUCUGAGAUACUGCUGACAGGCUUGGCACCUUUACUUUCAGAAAAACUCUUCUAGGGCGCCUGGGUGGCUCAGUCA
Molecule: non-coding RNA, 2598 nt
Organism: Leptonychotes weddellii (Weddell seal)
Lineage: Eukaryota; Metazoa; Chordata; Mammalia; Carnivora; Phocidae
Source: RefSeq, a predicted model, not a curated record